GAUGAACGCUGGCGGCGUGCCUAAUACAUGCAAGUCGAGCGAACAGACGAGGAGCUUGCUCCUCUGACGUUAGCGGCGGACGGGUGAGUAACACGUGGAUAACCUACCUAUAAGACUGGGAUAACUUCGGGAAACCGGAGCUAAUACCGGAUAAUAUAUUUAACCGCAUGGUUCAAUAGUGAAAGACGGUUUUGCUGUCACUUAUAGAUGUAUCCGCGCCGCAUUAGCUAGUUGGUAAGGUAACGGCUUACCAAGGCAACGAUGCGUAGCCGACCUGAGAGGGUGAACGGGCACAAUGGAACUGAGACACGGUCCAGACUCCUACGGGAGGCAGCAGUAGGGAAUCUUCAGAAAUGGGCGAAAGCCUGACGGAGCAACGACGCGUGAGUGAUGAAGGUCUUCGGAUCGUAAAACUCUGUUAUUAGGGAAGAACAAAUGUGUAAGUAACUAUGCACGUCUUGACGGUACCUAAUCAGAAAGCAAAGGCUAACUACGUG
This 497-nucleotide ribosomal RNA is filed under the name uncultured bacterium. RNAcentral's name for it is "partial 16S ribosomal RNA". It matches the Rfam family "Bacterial small subunit ribosomal RNA", at positions 28 to 507 of the family's 1533-position model. The record is from RNAcentral.